GGGUCCGCACCGGUUUCGACAGGCUGGCGAAAGCUACUCUGUGAUUCAGGUCGAGAGUGAGUCAUCUCUCGUAAAUCCAAGGCUCAAAAAAAAAGUAAAUGCGAACAACAUCGUAAAAUUUGCUCGUAAGGAAGCUGCUGUAGCAGUUGCCUAAAAACCUCUAACGGUUCGAGCGCUUCUAGUCUGACUCCGUUAAGGGCUAGGGGCAAACCCCAACGGAUGCGUUAACAAGUUUCCUCUGGUAGGCUUGUUGACAAAGACUUCACCAGAGAAUCCUACCGUUCGGGAUAAUGAACGUUCCCCGCCUUGAGGGUAAGAAAGGCUAAACCUGUGAAUGAGCGGAGGGUCAAUACCCAGUUUGGACAGCAGUUCGACUCUGCUCGGAUCCAC
RNAcentral lists this transfer-messenger RNA (390 nucleotides) under Chlorogloeopsis fritschii PCC 6912. It matches the Rfam family "transfer-messenger RNA". From Rfam's summary of the family: Bacterial tmRNA, also known as 10Sa RNA or SsrA, is named for its dual tRNA and mRNA-like properties. Lineage: Bacteria; Bacillati; Cyanobacteriota; Cyanophyceae; Nostocales; Chlorogloeopsidaceae. The record is from RNAcentral.